CACAGAUUCACAGGCCAACAGCGGGGUGGGAACUGGGAAGCGUCUUUCGGAUAGCGCGAGCGCAGCAGCCGGCCGCUGAAACCCGCAGCCGCCUCACUCGGUCGUCGUCCUCCCCGCGCGUAAUGCUUCGCGUCCCCGCUCUCCUCCCGCUUAAACCCUCAACCCCAACCAUCAGCUUGAGCCCCAUCCGCCGCAGCCAUGGCCGACGCCCCAAACCCCUCUCAGCCUCCUCCGCGCCUCCUCCCCCUUCGCCGGCUUCACGGUCGCCCAAGCCGACCCCGAAACCGGAACCACCAAAACCCAAACACGAGACCCGCAGCCAAAACCCAGAGGAUCCCGCCGCCGCAGGGUUCCCCGCGACGAAGCCGCGCAAGCCGCGCCGCGGGCGCCGUGGCGAGACGGUGGCAGUGGAGGACUUCGUCCGCGGCCGCCUCGAGCAGGUCUUCGCCUCCAUCCGGGAGCGCAACCCCGAGGUCCUCGAAGGUAAGGGCGACAUCCUGAAGCAGAAGGACCAGGAGGAGCAGUUAUCCGAUGAGGAGGAGAGGGAAAAGCCGGAGGAUGGAGAGGGGGAGCAGAAACCCGUGGUGGAUGAGGAGGACCCGAGCUGGCCGCUGGACGCCGACGUCGGGUGGGGGAUUCGGGCUUCGGAGUACUUCGACAAGCACUCGAUCAAGAACGUGACGGUGAACGGGGUGGAGAUCGAUUGGGAAGGGGAGGUCGACGAGGGCUGGGUCAAGGAGAUCAAUUGCUUGGAGUGGGAGGGAUUCGCCUUCCACCCCAGCCCACUGGUUGUCCUAGUAUUCGAGCGCUACAACCGGGCUGCUGACAAUUGGAAGUUUCUUCAAGAAUUGGAAAAGGCUGCUAAGGUAUACUGGAACACUAAAGAUCGGCUGCCUCCUCGGACCGUGAAAGUUGAUAUAAAUAUCGAGAGAGAUUUGGCAUAUGCACUUCAAGUAAAAGAAUGUCCACAAUUAUUGUUCCUCAGGGGAAAUAAGAUCUUAUAUAGAGAAAAAGAGAUAAGAACUGCGGACGAGCUAGUCCAAAUGAUUGCCCAUUUUUACUACAAUGCAAAGAGGCCAUCCUGCGUUAAUCCUGAAGCCAUUGCUCCUCUCUAAGUUCCUGCACACAAGUCCUGAGAUACUGCCCUAUUCUUGACUUUGUGCCAGUGCUUUCUGGAAAAAUAUGCUCCUAAUUUGGUCAUUUUCCAGGCAUGCUAGUUAUGCCAGUGUGAAGCUGAUGCUUGAACGUCCAAAAUAUACCUGGAAGAAAACCCAUCUCAAUGGUGGUUGCCCCAAGUUGGGAAGGUGUUGAACUAAAUCAUGUAUUUCGAUAAGCUUGAAUUCAUCGUAGUAUAGUCUACCAAAACACAGCUUUCAUCUGUCAUUAUGAUAUUCUGGAUAGUACAGGGGAGAGUGCUUAGUUCAA
Phragmites australis (common reed) is the source of this 1425-nucleotide RNA transcript. It is a transcript of the gene named thioredoxin-like fold domain-containing protein MRL7 homolog, chloroplastic, with no coding region annotated. The transcript is spliced from 5 exons. NCBI's taxonomy places the organism in Eukaryota, Viridiplantae, Streptophyta, Magnoliopsida, Poales, Poaceae. The record is from RefSeq and is a predicted model, not a curated record.